AUUGACAGUAAAUUUUCCCAAUUAUAGACGAGACUCGGACCAUUUGCCCAAUAAACUCCGAGAUUCAGGAGAGGGGCGGGAAUUUUAAAUGUGUUGUUGUUGCUCUGCGUUUAAGAAACAGUAAGGAUUUAUUAUUUAGCCAGAAGUUACACUUAAUCGGUGUCGCUUUUCUUUGUGAAAAAUCCGAGGCGGCUUUUUUGUGCUUUAGCUGUAAACUGUUGCGGUUUGUAUCGUAUUGUGUUCGUCUGAGCACAUGAAAUCACGGCGGUACGUUACACGAGUUGCUGUGGAAACUUUAUUUCUGCUUCAGACACGUUGAGCCUCAGUGAUCGUGAACCUUCGUGCAGAUGAAGAUGAUGAUGAAGCAGACGAUGAUGUUGAGACCCUCGUGUGUCGGAGCGCGUCUUCUAACUGUUACUGGAGAAACAAGACUGAAGCUCAGACCUUUCCAAAGGCUGAGUCCCUGAGCUGUGAGGAUCAUGAGGACCAGCUGGACAGUCCACUGUCCACUCCACAGCCCUGAGGAAGGAGCUCCUGUCCUCCUGUCAGGAUGUUCACCUUCCCUCCUGCACUGCUGUCACCCUGAGCUCCCAGACACAGGCGCUCUUACCUCCCUCCCUGUCCAGCCAGAGUCUGCUCCUCUUCUCCGGGAGCAGGCACACAGUCUGCCUCUUCCUUUCCUUGCUCAUCUCAGCACUGACAUUCCUGACUCCUGCAGAAGGGAGCACAGGGGAAAGACAGUGAUGUUUACAGCUGUAAGAGGUCAUGUUCAACAAAUGAGUGGCACCAUCUGCUCUAGACAUACUGCAGCCCCAAUACAGUGACAGUAUCUUUCUUGACAAAUUGGUGUGGAUCUACACACUGGGUGCAGGGGUCUCCAGCCCCAGACCUGUUGCUCUUGUAAGUCACCUUUAAAAGCGGCAGUUCCUUACAGAUGAGGAACACUUCUUUAAGCAGUUGAUCAGCACAGCAAAGAGACAUCCUUGAGUCCUCAAGAAUUAAUAUUUGGAUUUGUUCCCGAUCGUCUCUAAAGUACCUGAUUUAACUAAACAUAUAUACAUAUAUAUAAAUAUGUGAUCAGUUAAAUUGUCCCAGGCUUUUGGAAGGUGGUAAUUGAGGGUUACCUUUGAAACAUGCUGAAAACAUGUUGGACUGGGGCUUCUCGGGACCAGAGGGUAAGACCUCCUGACUUCCAUAUACAAACUUACUCUACCCAAAUCCAUAAAUCAUUCUUCUUCCCCCCUGAGAUGUACUCUGUUGGGUAGUCUGGGUUAUUACACGACAUGCUCAUGAUGCUUCAUCUUUCACUUGGAGCUCACUGGAGUUGACAGGCUCCCCAACACCCUCCUCUACUGAGCAAGUCAGGUUUAUCCUGACCUCAUGUGGACAUGUAAGAAAGGAGUAUUUUUCUCCUGAAAAUCUGGCUUUUCACUGCUGUUUUACAGCUUUAAAUAGUAGAUGUACCGGGUGAUUUAUGAGAUCAGUUAUCAGAACUCUUAUGCUUUUACAUCCAACUAUUAUUAAAGUUUAUUGACAGGAUCCAAGCUCUUGAGAAGCACCACCUCGUUUUCAUGGGGGGGGGCUUUUAGAAAACAUACCCAAACUACAGCUAUCACAACACAAAGAACAAAAGAAGAGAAAAGUAAAUAAAA
This is a long non-coding RNA of Lepisosteus oculatus (spotted gar), 1652 nucleotides long. Lineage: Eukaryota; Metazoa; Chordata; Actinopteri; Semionotiformes; Lepisosteidae. The record is from Ensembl.